RNAcentral lists this non-coding RNA (157 nucleotides) under unclassified sequences. The record is from RNAcentral.
GCUGUACUUGCAUGUGAAUGUAGGUGCAGUCGUCCUCAGUAAAUGACAACCAUGUGGGGCGUAAGUAGUAUUUUAUGCAGAAUAAUUAGAGUGGUGAUUGCUUUAAUUAAUACUGAUAAUCACAAAUAUUAUGAUCGUGCGGACGUAAAAAUCAUGG